Molecule: ribosomal RNA, 468 nt
Filed under: uncultured bacterium
Lineage: Bacteria
Description: partial 16S ribosomal RNA
Rfam family: Bacterial small subunit ribosomal RNA
Source: RNAcentral
GACGAACGCUGGCGGCGUGCUUAACACAUGCAAGUCGAACGGAAAGACCCUGCUUUUGUGGGGUUCUCGAUUGGCGAACGGGUGUGUAACACGUGAGUAACCUGCCCUUGACUUUGGGAUAACUUCAGGAAACUGCGGCUAAUACCGGAUAGGAGCUCCUGCUGCAUGGUGGGGGUUGGAAAGUUUCGGCGGUUGGGGAUGGACUCGCGGCUUAUCAGCUUGUUGGUGGGGUAGUGGCUUACCAAGGCUUUGACGGGUAGCCGGCCUGAGAGGGUGAACGGCCACAAGGGGACUGAGAGACGGCGCAGACUGCUACGGGAGGCAGCAGGCGGGAAUAUUGCACAAUGGGCGGAAGUCUGAUGCAGCAACGCUGCGUUCGGGAUGACGGGUUUCGGGUUGUAAACCGCUUUCGACUGUGACGAAGCGGGAGUGACGGUAACGGGUAAAGAAGCACCGGCUAACUACGUG